UGAAAGGCAUGAAUGCAAUGUUCAAAUCCGCGAAGCGGACUUAAGGUAUAAAAAGGCGAAAACUAGUCUACAUAAGAAGGGUCAAUAGUUUGACCAUGAUUACGUCAAACAAGACAUAUAAGUAAAUGUAAUGCAAAUGAACAAAGGAAUGAUAAGAAGGAAGAUAUUCGAAUGUGAAGUGAUUACAUACCAAAACAAAUAAAUAUUCCUUAAGUGAUAUGAUCCAAAUUAUGUUUAAACUUUUGUAUAUAUAUAUACAUGAUUAUAUUUAUGUAAAUGUGUUGUAAGCAAGAAUGGUAGAAAGGAUAAAUGGGACAUACGGGUCAGAUGGCAACCGCCAUUUGAACUCGGUAGUUAAUGAUAUGAUUUGUCAAGUUUCAUGCUCAUAGGUGAGCUUGAAGAAUGGAGACGCAAUGUCACUAACCGGAAAGGAAUGAUCAUCGUAAGGUAUGGAUAACGAAUCAAUGGAAUUUACUUCCGUCAGAUUGGUAUAGAACAUGAAUGCCUGUAACUGUGGUAAUUCUAAUAGAAUGUAAGUGAUGACAAGUACCGUUAAGAAAUACGAACCUUGAUGCUUGGCUUGUUGGCCAUGUUCAUUUGAACAAGACACUGUAGAAAAGAUACGCAUGGCAUAAAUAACGAUAGUAACCAUGGAAAUAAUGCUUAAUUUUUGUGUUAAGUAUGGAUAAGAGAGUUUAAGAAGGGUGAUUUUGAUUGUAACAAUAAGUCUUUAAAUGAUUGUAAUAUGCGUAUGAUAAUAUAUCGACCCCUCCUAUGAGCUUAAGGAUAAUCGGAAGUAACGAUAGUAAGGGAAUGUUUAGGAUGGCUCAUAGUGAACAAAAUGAAAGAUAUCAUAUGAUGUAUGAGUAGAAUGAAAUAAACCGACUUAUUUCAAUUAGUAAAUAUACAAAUGUAAUAUGCUUAAAUAGGAUGUUAGAAACAAGCCAUAGACUUAGUAUGUAUGGUUAAUAACUGCAUACAAUUGGAAUAAAUUCGAUGAAUAAAAUGCUAGGGAUAAUAUGUGCUAGAAACUAGCAAUAUGAAGUGAAAGACACUAAUAAGAGCUCUGGAGCAGAAUCUAACAUAAGUAUUGUGAAUGAACAACUUGAAAGGGGUAAGAGUAGAAUUGGUUUAAUUUUAAAUGAAAAAGGUUUCGGGGACGAAACCUUAUUUAAGAGGGGUAGACUUGUAACACCCCAAAACCCGAAUGUUUAUAUUUGUCGUAUGUCCAUAUAAGACACAUCAUGAAAUAAAUAACUAGGCUAAUUAACCUACUUAAGUAUAUGGCAAAACUAUUAAAUGGAGAGAGUUAUGCCAAAUGUGUUCUAAGUGCCAACAUGAGGGACUAAUUGGAGUAAAAUGGAAGUUGAGUUAUUAAAAUAAAAAAAAUAAACACACACAACACACAAUUCGUGUGUGUUCUCGAACGUACAGGGGCUUCAAGAAGCCAAGCCCUAGUUCUUCAAAAAAAGCUUCAAAUUAAGGGAUGAUUCAAGGCUCAAAUUCAUGAAUUCUCAUGGAUUAAUGAUCACCAUCACAAGGGGAUCAUAAGGUAUGUCUCGAUUCUCAGUUUUGGAGAACAACCGUGAAGUGGGUUUUGAUGAAUGUAUGAAUUCGAUCAAAAAUUGGCAUGAAUACUUGCUAAUGUUAUCAUGUUUAAAUCGAAUCAUGGCUGAAUUUUAGUAAUCUUAGGGAUUUAGAAGGAAACCAUGUUUAUGAGUAUGAGAAAGACUAUGAUGAACAUGUGUUUAGUGAUGAUUUUGAUUAUGUUGAUGCAUGUGUUAUGAAUUAGGUUUUGAUAGUAAUAUGAUGUAGGUGACAAUAUGAUUUUGUUUGAAUGUAAUGGUUCAUGAGAUGAAUUUGGGAAGAACAUGCUUAAACCACUUGUACACUAUGCUUGGAAAGUAGAUUGCACACCAAGUGUUUGAUAAAAUGCCUAGUAUAGGUUAGUGUGUGUUAUCACUUGUAUGGAAUGUUAAUUAAAUAGUAAUGAAGGCGAUUAUGUAUUACAAGUAUGAAAAGUGCUUAGUGAUGAUGUUGUGUACAAAAUAACAUGCUAUGUGUAUCGAGUAACAAAGCUGAUUAGGAUUAAAAUUUGUUGCGCAACAAUUUUGCAAAAAUCAUAUAAAAUCAUAGGAAGGACCUGUGAGGUCGAGCCUUAUAUGCUCAAAAAGCUAUUUAAACAUAUUACGUUUUGUGUUUGAACAUGUUUGUUGAAUUCGGAUGUUAAACAGGCCAAAACAGUGCCCAAAGUCGGCAAUACUGUUUUGACAGCAAGCUGUUUGGAAGCAUUUCAGCUUCUGUGCUGAUUUUGUAAAAUUCAUAUAAAAUCAUAGGAACGUCCGAUUGUUACGAUCUUUAUAUGCUUAGAAAGGUCUCUGAGUGUAGAUCAUUUCAUAUUUGAACAUGAAGAACUGAAUCAGAAGAUAAAUGGGUUAAAAUGUGUCGUGAACAGCUGCUGCGCAGAAAGUUGUUGCACAUUUUUAGUAUAAAUAUUAAGUAAAAAUAGUUGUAUUUUUAUGCACACUUGUAUGAAUCAUGAACUACUGAUUUUAAUAAAUUAUUAGUAAGUUAUUUGAUUCUUUUAAGUGUCUAAAACACUUACCAACUAGUCUAUGCAUAUGAUUGCACCAACGGGUUGAAACGGGUUGUUGAUAGAAAAUAGUAGAAUGGAUGUGUAAAAACCAAGGUGUUAAGAAAUGGUAUGAAAUGUUUAAUGUAUGAAACAAGUUGCCUAACUUAGAAAAUGUUAUCAUUCUAAGUAUGGAAUUUUGAAACAAUAAUGAACAUGAUGUAAAUACAUAAUUAUGCAUGCUAGAAGCUCAUGUAUGACUUUUGUGAUGAUGGAAUGAUAAAUUGUUAGAUUGAUUAGCAUUGUAGUAUUGUGAUACAUGUUGAACUCGUUAAGCGAUUGAGACGUGAAUAGAAGUGUGAUUAGUGGUGCGUAUGAUUACGUAUACUAACUAUUGAAUGGAUGUAAUGGAAUGAGAUAAUAGGAACGUGUCAAGGAGAGCUCAAGCAUAGGAGGAUAACGGGUCAAGAUAAGGCAAGGUGACAAAUACACUUAUUGGAGUACUCAAGGUAAGUGAUUUCUAUAAUCACUUCUUUAGUUGUUUAAGUAAUAUAAUGUUUUAAUUAUUAAGUUCAUAUGAAGUUGAGGUCAAAUCAAUAGAUUAUUUCGAUAAAUGCACGAAUGGGUCGAAUAAUUCAUAGAUGAAUAACAAGCCGAAUAUGUAUAAGUUAAGAAAUUCCUUAACUCGGAUGUUGGACUUCAAGAUCACAUGAUAGAAUAUUAAAUUACAAUCAUGUAGGAAGAAACGUGACGCAAAACGGAUGAAAAAUGAGAGAGUUAUGUCCGUUUCGGUAAGGAUUAAUGGCUAGGAACAGUGCAGAGUUGACACGGCCGGGUGGUGAACUGACACGGCCGGGUGAAGGUUCUGUCAAAAAUAUUAUUUAUGUGAUUUAUGCGCCGUAGGCUUCGGUAUAUUAUCCGUGAACUACGACGGGCCUCCCAAACAUGAUUUCGAGUGUUUCCUUGACGAUUAUAAGUUGUAAACCCAAGUCUAAGCCUCAUGUAAUUUAUAUAAGAGUGUGAUAGAUGUAUGUAAUGAAGUUGGACAUGUAUUACAUGUAAAUGUAUACAAAAAUACGUACGGAACACGUAGAUAUGAAUACAUGAUUGUAGGUAUGAUUAAAUGUAUAUUAGGUAUGUAGAUGUGUAUGAUUGUAAGUUUGUAUGUGUGCAAGUAUGUGCGAAUGCAUGAUUUGGAUGCAUUUGAGAAAUAGCGUUACUAAUAAUGCCCUUGGGUUUGGAAUAUAAGUUAAUUGGAUGCAUUUAAAUGGUUGACGUCCUUUUUAUGAAGAUGUAGUAAAUGAAUAUGUUGAGAUUACGGGUUUGGCUAACCAAGUUAUUAUUGAGUAUGUUUGAAAGUGCAGGUUAUGAAUGUCGGACUUUCGAAGUGUUGAUAUAAUAAUGAAACGGUUGAAUGUUGAAAGGAUAAUCGGAUUGAAGUAACUUAUGCGGUUAGAAUAUGCUAUGGACGUUUUAGUUUAUACAACAUUUUAUGUUUGGUCGUCAUCAUCUACCAACGGGUUAGUUGUUUGAAAAUAUAUGUCAUACCCAUUUAAUUGGGUAAUCGAAUGCAUGAGAGAAAUGAAAGCACAUACACGAAUGGAACUAAAGUGACGAUUUUAUAAGUAAAUAAGUAAAUGACUAACUUUUUAAAGCUUUGUUGAUUGAAUGUAGGUAAAUCCUCAAUUCAGGCGACUUGGAGAAUCGGAGCGAGCGCGUGUUCAUGUUAUGUCAUACCAAACGCUUCCGCUAGCUUGUUCAAAUGUUUUUGAACCAAAAUUUGUUGUAUUGGUUUUUAGUAGUAUCUUGUUGAAUGAAUUGUAGAAUUGUAUCUAGUUUGUUUAUGUUUAAAACAGGGGUAUGCUCGUUUUAUGGACGGGUCAUGCCCGAUUUUUGUUAAAUUAUAGUAUGAUAAUAUCACAUUUAGGA
This 4501-nucleotide long non-coding RNA is filed under the name Helianthus annuus (common sunflower). RNAcentral's name for it is "sRNA HanXRQr2_Chr05g0222711". The record is from RNAcentral. Lineage: Eukaryota; Viridiplantae; Streptophyta; Magnoliopsida; Asterales; Asteraceae.